CUAUACAGGGUGGCCCAUUUAGAUCGGUCAGUAUCGGAAAAUCUGAAACUAUAAGAUAUACACCGAUCUCUUCUUAGGAACCAUGUCAUCGAUUUUAGUAACAAGAAAAACUGCAUUCAUACAUUUAAAUAAAAAUGUACUCAGCUCGGGAAUCGAACCCCGAACGUUUUGAAAAAUCAAACUAAGACUAUUUCUAUUUAGAUAUCGAUUGUGUAGGUCUUAAGCAGUAAAUGUUAUACUAUGAAACAUGAUAUCUGAAAUGAAUAAAAUGCAUUGUUUUCAUAUCCUUUAAUUUAUUUUAGUAAGUUUUCGAAAAGACCACCAUUUUUUUCAAUACAUUUUACAUACAUUUUUUUUUAAUGUAUGAAUGCAGUUUUUCUUGUUACUAAAAUCGAUGACAUGGUUCCUAAGAAGAGAUCGGUGUAUGUCUUAUAGUUUUAGAUUUUCCCAUACUGACCGAUCUAAAUGGGCCACCCUGUAUAGUACUAAAAUACGAUGCUCCGAAUCGAUCAAAGAACGAAGGAGAAAAUAAUUGAAUUGAAAUUUGAAACCAGUAAACAUCAAAUGGCAUUCCGCACAGGAGUAAUCUAAGGAACGCCCACUGCGGGUUCAAACCUACAACGUCCUAUUAGAAAAUCGUACAUACGCUGCAUGUGACAUAUCUUCAAAAAUUAUAUAAACUAAUGCGAAAUUUACAUAAAACCAGAAGACACAAAUUAAUAAUA
Molecule: long non-coding RNA, 725 nt
Organism: Cydia splendana
Lineage: Eukaryota; Metazoa; Arthropoda; Insecta; Lepidoptera; Tortricidae
Exons: 2
Source: RefSeq, a predicted model, not a curated record